GACGAACGCUGGCGGCGUGCCUAAUACAUGCAAGUUGAGCGAUGAAGAUUGGUGCUUACACCAAUUUGAAGAGCAGCGAACGGGUGAGUAACGCGUGGGGAAUCUGCCUUUGAGCGGGGGACAACAUUUGGAAACGAAUGCUAAUACCGCAUAACAACUUUAAACAUAAGUUUUAAGUUUGAAAGAUGCAAUUGCAUCACUCAAAGAUGAUCCCGCGUUGUAUUAGCUAGUUGGUGAGGUAAAGGCUCACCAAGGCGAUGAUACAUAGCCGACCUGAGAGGGUGAUCGGCCACAUUGGGACUGAGACACGGCCCAAACUCCUACGGGAGGCAGCAGUAGGGAAUCUUCGGCAAUGGACGAAAGUCUGACCGAGCAACGCCGCGUGAGUGAAGAAGGUUUUCGGAUCGUAAAACUCUGUUGGUAGAGAAGAACGUUGGUGAGAGUGGAAAGCUCAUCAAGUGACGGUAACUACCCAGAAAGGGACGGCUAACUACGUG
This 497-nucleotide ribosomal RNA is filed under the name uncultured bacterium. RNAcentral's name for it is "partial 16S ribosomal RNA". It matches the Rfam family "Bacterial small subunit ribosomal RNA", at positions 28 to 507 of the family's 1533-position model. The record is from RNAcentral.